CGUGUAGGCGGUUUGGCAAGUCGAGUGUGAAAUCCCACGGCUCAACCGUGGAACUGCGCUCGAAACUGCCUUACUUGAGUGCGGGAGAGGUGUGCGGAAUUCCUGGUGUAGCGGUGGAAUGCGUAGAUAUCAGGAAGAACACCGGUGGCGAAGGCGACACACUGGCCCAGCACUGACGCUGAGGCGCGAAAGCGUGGGGAGCGAACG
Molecule: ribosomal RNA, 207 nt
Filed under: uncultured bacterium
Lineage: Bacteria
Description: partial 16S ribosomal RNA
Rfam family: Bacterial small subunit ribosomal RNA
Source: RNAcentral